ACGCUGUUUGUUCUUCUAGUUCAGUACAUACAAUGGUGUGUCUUUCGAUUGGAUGGUGCAAGAGUGAGUCGCUUUGAUGAUGAUGGAUGCAUUACAUGCAAUACCCCCCCUUAAAGAAGAAAGCAUUGAUGGAUUAAGAAAUUGGAUAGUCGCUGUUGGUCGAUGCUUCAAUCCCCCAUACUCUCGUGAUUGUUUGACGUGUUUUGUAACACCGAACCUAUUUCUAGCCGGGUGAGAGGUUUCUUAUUCAAAUCAUGGCAAUUUUAGCUUUCGGCGAAAGAAGGAAGGGUUUACUAAUUGGAAUAGAAAGAGAAUCGUUUCGUCUCCCUUCCCCUGUCAUUAUAUACGCCCCUCGAAUUUACGUAGGAAACAAAUGAAUGUCGCUAGAUAUCAUGGAUCAGUCGUAACGUCGAACGCCGUCAAGUGUGGUUCUAUAAUUGCCAACGUUGGGCUUUUUUUUUGUUGCUGAGGUGGAUUCUAUUUUUUUACCUGUCAAGCGAGAUUGCGACGAGGGAAUCGAUUGAAGCCACAACUGAAACUCCUUGCACGUAAGCCACCUAAAAGACAAGUCACUCGUUAACUACUUGCAUGUAUUUUGUAUAUUUACAAGCACGGCCUCCCUAUGAUCGGGAGGCCGUGCUUUUUUCCCCGUCGUUAUUCAUUGUUUCUUUUUGUAUUUUGUUACAAAUUUCAUUUAAUCGCAUCCAUUCUCAGAACUUUUUUACAACUAAUGGUGAAAUAUCUUACCAACUUGCACAUGGUCUCUCCCAGGAUCCAAGCUGUGACAUGGUAAGGAAAGAAAAGUUAAGGAUUUAUUUAGUUCUGCUUUUUUUUCUCUAAAAGUAACAGAACUUUGUGUUUGCAGUACUUGUAGACACUACUCAACAUAGAGAAAAUUCGCGAAAAGAAGAGUUGACUAUGAUGGAUGGUAGACGGACAGGGACUCGUUUAUUUUAAAUCCGUCGUCUGCUGUCUGUGUUUUGUUUAACAGCUGAGCUGAUUCAUUUGCAAUGUUUGACAGGGAUAAACAUCGAUGACUAAAUCUGUCGGUGCCCAAUCAGAAGAGGGAAAAGUAGCAAAGAAAGUCUGGGGAAAGUUGUUGAUAGUGGAGUGGCGUGACGAUGUUUUAGCACAAAGGAUUGCGUAGCUGCUUCACCAAGAAACAUUAUCCCUGCAUCGCGGUAUACAACUAACUAGCCCGGCGGGUAAUAAAGCUUCUCGAUUGACGUCAACAUCCAGCAUCGAAUCCAGCUAAAUCUCAGCUAUUGUGUUUAACAAAGUUUCGCUAUCCAACUAACCUGACAAGUUACCAUUAUCCUACAUCCAUUUCCUUGUUUAUUUUUUUUUUUACAUUGUAAAGUCCACACCGUAACAGCCCUCGAGAAGUCUAAAUUGCCAUACGCUCAAUAUAACAAGGGCCACUGGAGAUCGUCGUCAUGGUAGUGUAUUAAAUUGGAUUCCACGAAGAUCUGAUGGCUACGCAGGGUCUGCAUUUCUUCUUUAACGGGAGGUUAGGAAACGAUUUUUCCCGAGUAACAAGAUUGGAUGGAAGGAAAUGUCUUAUAAACUGACAGGAGGGGAGAAUUCUUUGAAAAGGGGAAGCGGACGAGUACUGUGCAUCCAAUGGAUGUAUUAUGUUCGAGGAGAAAGAAGUCGUACAUGUUAUUCAAUAAGGGAAUGAAAAAGACGGGAAGUACUGCAUAUUUUUAUUUUAUCUCCUUUCCCGUUUUCAUUUCCGCUGUCUUGCAUUCUUACCCCACCAUCACUGUUGUCGUAAUGCUUGGUAAAUGUAUUGCAAAGUCUCUUUCCAGGCCUGUUUUUAGAUGCUCACAUUCCCCGGCUUAGAUGUUUGUGUAAUUUAUAUCCGAUAGUCAGACGUGUCAAAUUUAUCCGGCAGCAUUUUACCCUACAUUACUAGAUAUCCCGACAGGCUGAACGUGAAAAGAAACUGCCAUUUGUAGUAAAGAUAUUUUUGGAUUUGUGCAAUUCGGCAGGUUUGAAGUGAUGCAUUCAGUGAAGUAAGGUAAUCCUUUCUAACGGAUUUUUUUCGCUGAUGUAGAUGUCUUUAAUUCGUCCUGCGUUAUGCAAGAAAAACUUGAAAUAUUUACUUUGUUUCUUUUAUUUAAUAUCGUUGUCGCUGCUUUGAUCUAUUUGAAAAUUCCAGCCAAAGGUUUUAAUCUCGUGUUUAAAAAUAGUAAAAUUGUGAAGCAA
RNAcentral lists this long non-coding RNA (2211 nucleotides) under Daphnia magna. RNAcentral's name for it is "uncharacterized LOC116929867, transcript variant X7". Lineage: Eukaryota; Metazoa; Arthropoda; Branchiopoda; Diplostraca; Daphniidae. The record is from RNAcentral.